RNAcentral lists this transfer RNA (75 nucleotides) under Candidatus Omnitrophota bacterium. RNAcentral's name for it is "Candidatus Omnitrophica bacterium tRNA-Glu". It matches the Rfam family "tRNA". From Rfam's summary of the family: Transfer RNA (tRNA) molecules are approximately 80 nucleotides in length. Their secondary structure includes four short double-helical elements and three loops (D, anti-codon, and T loops). The record is from RNAcentral. Lineage: Bacteria; Pseudomonadati; Candidatus Omnitrophota.
GACCCCAUCGUCUAGCCUGGUCUAGGACUCGAGCUUUUCAAGCUCGCAACACGGGUUCGAAUCCCGUUGGGGUCG